UACGUAGGGGGCUAGCGUUGUCCGGAUUUAUUGGGCGUAAAGAGCGUGUAGGCGGCCAGGUAGGUCUGCUGUGAAAACUCGAGGCUCAACCUCGAGAUGUCGGCGGAAACCAUCUGGCUAGAGUCCGGAAGAGGAGAGUGGAAUUCCUGGUGUAGCGGUGAAAUGCGCAGAUAUCAGGAGGAACACCAGUGGCGAAGGCGGCACUCUGGGCCAGUAUUGACGCUGAGGAGCGAAAGCGUGGGGAGCGAACAGG
This 253-nucleotide ribosomal RNA is filed under the name uncultured bacterium. RNAcentral describes it as "partial 16S ribosomal RNA". It matches the Rfam family "Bacterial small subunit ribosomal RNA", at positions 524 to 776 of the family's 1533-position model. The record is from RNAcentral.